This 492-nucleotide ribosomal RNA is filed under the name uncultured bacterium. RNAcentral describes it as "partial 16S ribosomal RNA". It matches the Rfam family "Bacterial small subunit ribosomal RNA", at positions 29 to 507 of the family's 1533-position model. The record is from RNAcentral.
AGUGAACGCUGGCGGUAGGCCUAACACAUGCAAGUCGAACGGCAGCACAGUAAGAGCUUGCUCUUACGGGUGGCGAGUGGCGGACGGGUGAGGAAUACAUCGGAAUCUACUUUUUCGUGGGGGAUAACGUAGGGAAACUUACGCUAAUACCGCAUACGACCUACGGGUGAAAGCAGGGGAUCUUCGGACCUUGCGCGAUUGAAUGAGCCGAUGUCGGAUUAGCUAGUUGGCGGGGUAAAGGCCCACCAAGGCGACGAUCCGUAGCUGGUCUGAGAGGAUGAUCGGCCACACUGGAACUGAGACACGGUCCAGACUCCUACGGUAGGCAGCAGUGGGGAAUAUUGGACAAUGGGCGCAAGCCUGAUCCAGCCAUACCGCGUGGGUGAAGAAGGCCUUCGGGUUGUAAAGCCCUUUUGUUGGGAAAGAAAAGCAGCAGGUUAAUACCCCGCUGUUCUGACGGUACCCAAAGAAUAAGCACCGGCUAACUUCGUG